AGAGUUUGAUCAUGGCUCAGAACGAACGCUGGCGGCAGGCCUAACACAUGCAAGUCGAGCGCUCCGCAAGGAGAGCGGCGGACGGGUGAGUAACGCGUGGGAACGUACCCUUUGCUACGGAAUAGCCUCGGGAAACUGGGAGUAAUACCGUAUGUGUCCUUCGGGAGAAAGAUUUAUCGGCAAAGGAUCGGCCCGCGUUGGAUUAGGUAGUUGGUGGGGUAAUGGCCUACCAAGCCGACGAUCCAUAGCUGGUUUGAGAGGAUGAUCAGCCACACUGGGACUGAGACACGGCCCAGACUCCUACGGGAGGCAGCAGUGGGGAAUCUUAGACAAUGGGCGCAAGCCUGAUCUAGCCAUGCCGCGUGAGCGAUGAAGGCCUUAGGGUUGUAAAGCUCUUUCAGGGGGGAAGAUAAUGACUGUACCCCCAGAAGAAGCCCCGGCUAACUCCGUGCCAGCCGCCGCGGUAAUAC
RNAcentral lists this ribosomal RNA (470 nucleotides) under uncultured bacterium. RNAcentral's name for it is "bacterial SSU rRNA". It matches the Rfam family "Bacterial small subunit ribosomal RNA", at positions 8 to 526 of the family's 1533-position model. The record is from RNAcentral.